Selaginella moellendorffii is the source of this 910-nucleotide RNA transcript. It is a transcript of the gene named ubiquitin-conjugating enzyme E2 2, with no coding region annotated. The record is from RefSeq and is a predicted model, not a curated record. NCBI's taxonomy places the organism in Eukaryota, Viridiplantae, Streptophyta, Lycopodiopsida, Selaginellales, Selaginellaceae. The transcript has 7 exons.
UCGGUCUCUCAUUUUGUAGGGCUUGGGAGUGCCGUGAACGCCGAUGCUACAGAUCUAGGCCCAUCGUUGUCCGCGCGCCGCCGUGCUAGGGCUUGAGUGAUCGAGCACAAGGAUGUCUACGCCGGCGAGGAAGCGCCUGAUGCGAGAUUUCAAGCGCCUACAGCAUGAUCCUCCGGCAGGCAUCAGCGGCGCUCCACAGGACAACAAUAUCAUGUUGUGGAAUGCUGUGAUCUUCGGGCCUGACGACACGCCAUGGGAUGGAGGUACGUUCAAGCUUACGUUACAGUUCACGGAGGACUAUCCCAACAAACCGCCAAAUGUCCGGUUUGUGUCGAAGAUGUUCCAUCCCAACAUUUAUGCCGAUGGAAGCAUUUGUCUCGACAUCCUCCAAAAUCAGUGGAGCCCGAUCUAUGAUGUUGCCGCAAUACUGACAUCGAUCCAGUCUUUGCUAUGCGAUCCCAACCCAAACUCUCCUGCUAACUCCGAGGCGGCGCGCAUGUACAACGAGAACAGGAGAGAGUAUAACAAGAAAGUUCGAGCAGUCGUGGAACAAAGCUGGACGGCAAAUGACUAGACUGCGUGGCUGGCUACUGAAAAUGCUGCUUUGUAUAUGUCGGUGCCCGGACUUCUUUUUUUUCUUCUUCUAGGUGAUUUGAUAGAGGGCGAAAGGUUCAGCUGUUAUUGACAUUAAAAGCAGUGGCAAUUUCUUCGCCAAUUGCGUACUGAGAAGGAGCACAGCUUUUCUCAAGCUCGUAGCCACCAGCACUCUCGGCAGGAGCGCUACCAGUCGGAAGAAGAGCAAGAACACGCCGAGCGGUGGCAUCCACACUGGAACAAAAAAAAAGGAGAAAGAAAAGAGAACUUUUUUCAAGUUUUUUCUCCUUGAAUUCGAUCGAUCUCUUACCCGGUA